This is a long non-coding RNA of Oreochromis aureus, 734 nucleotides long. RefSeq lists it as uncharacterized. The transcript is spliced from 2 exons. Lineage: Eukaryota; Metazoa; Chordata; Actinopteri; Cichliformes; Cichlidae. The record is from RefSeq and is a predicted model, not a curated record.
CCACCAGCCACUGGAUCCAGACACUGACCAAUAAACCAUAAUUCCCGUGAAGUACAAGAGAUUGACACAAUGGAAGUAGGCGCGACCCACGCUGUUGCUCCAUCCUAUCUUGGAUGGUCCAUCUUUAACACUUUAUGCUGCUGUCUGCCACUUGGGAUUCCUGCUAUUAUCUUUUCCUGCAAGGCACAAAAUGCAAACACUCUGGGAGAAUCAGCUAUUGCUGAGGAAGCAUCAAGGACGGCCAAGACCCUGAACAUCAUUGGAACAGUCUUUGGAGUAAUCAUCAUCACCGUUUGGAUUACAGCUACAUUUAUUUAAGAAAGAGAAGGCCAAAUUUUGCCAGAAAAUGAAGAGUAAAAAUCAAAAAAGUUUUUAUAAUUAUGUGCUACACCUCCUCUACAUGGAUCAUUAAUUAGGCAUAUAUGUCUGUAGGUCCUUGUUCACAUAUGUUUGCAGACUGUGUUUAAUCGGCUUUUUCCAUUUAAAAUAAAAAAACAAAAUGAUAUGAAGAUUAUAGGAAGAACAAUGAGUGCAUGUCAGCAUCAGAGUACUGCACGAGUGUGCCAUUUACUAAAAGGAAGGAAAAAAGGCAUAUUAUUGUAAAAAUAUAGUUUUUAUUUGUCUUAUUUACAUUUAUGUUAGCGUGGGCCGUGAUAAAAGAAGAAAAUAUAUAAAAAUUGUAACAAAGGGUGUUUAUUAUAAUAAAAGCGCUUCUUUUAAUUUGAUAGUGAAAA